AGCUUUGCGCAGUGGCAGUAUUGUAGCCAAUGAGGUUUAUCCAAGGCGCGAUUAUUGCUAAUUGAAAACUCUCAUGAAGAGAGUUUCCAUGUUAAUGGAGGCAACCAGAAUGGAUGUCCUUCUAGAAAAGGUGAGCACCU
Molecule: small nuclear RNA, 140 nt
Organism: Lutra lutra (Eurasian river otter)
Lineage: Eukaryota; Metazoa; Chordata; Mammalia; Carnivora; Mustelidae
Product: U4 spliceosomal RNA
Exons: 1
Source: RefSeq, a predicted model, not a curated record